UACGGAGGGUGCAAGCGUUAUCCGUAUUCACUGGGUUUAAAGGGUGCGUAGGCGGACAGGUAAGUCAGUGGUGAAAUCUCCGAGCUUAACUCGGAAACUUCCGUUGAUACUAUUUGUCUUGAAUACUGUGGAGGUAAGCGGAAUAUGUCAUGUAGCGGUGAAAUGCUUAGAUAUGACAUAGAACACCAAGUGCGAAGGCAGCUUACUACACAGCGAUUGACGCUGAGGCACGAAAGCGUGGGAAUCAAACAGG
This 253-nucleotide ribosomal RNA is filed under the name uncultured bacterium. RNAcentral's name for it is "partial 16S ribosomal RNA". It matches the Rfam family "Bacterial small subunit ribosomal RNA", at positions 524 to 776 of the family's 1533-position model. The record is from RNAcentral.